UACGUAGGGGGCUAGCGUUGUCCGGAAUUAUUGGGCGUAAAGCGCACGUAGGCGGUUUGUUAAGUCGGAUGUGAAAUCCCUCGGCUCAACUGAGGAAGUGCAUCCGAAACUGGCAGGCUUGAGUACUAAAGAGGGUCGCGGAAUUCCCGGUGUAGAGGUGAAAUUCGUAGAUAUCGGGAGGAACACCGGUGGCGAAGGCGGCGACCUGGGUAGAUACUGACGCUGAAGUGCGAAAGCGUGGGGAGCAAACAGG
Molecule: ribosomal RNA, 253 nt
Filed under: uncultured bacterium
Lineage: Bacteria
Description: partial 16S ribosomal RNA
Rfam family: Bacterial small subunit ribosomal RNA
Source: RNAcentral